UGGAACAUAGUUCAGCGGCUAGAGCAUCCGGCUCAUAACCGGAGUGUCGGCGGUUCGAAUCCGUCUGUUCCAA
This 73-nucleotide transfer RNA is filed under the name Caudoviricetes sp. RNAcentral describes it as "tRNA-Met". It matches the Rfam family "tRNA". From Rfam's summary of the family: Transfer RNA (tRNA) molecules are approximately 80 nucleotides in length. Lineage: Duplodnaviria; Heunggongvirae; Uroviricota; Caudoviricetes. The record is from RNAcentral.